GCAUUGUAGUGCAACUAUAUCCUUAGAAGAUCAUAAGUUGGUAAAUGGUUGUGAGGCUCGGUAGGUAUAUAUAUAUAUCAAUGUUGGACUUGUAAUCAUACUCAUGGACAAUUGAUCCAUCUUAUCGGGUGAUCGGAGAUGUUUGUUUGGGUGACUGGUGACCAGUGAUAGAGGUCGAAUUUUUAACUUCGGGGAGAGAGAAUAAGCUUAAACAUUUGGAAUUUUCCUCUGCAGCCAAUGCCCAUGCUCUAUAUGUAUUAAAGAGAUUGUGAGAAGGAUGGGGUUCAAUGUCACUUCAUGUGAAGCAUCCAAAAUCAAAAGUUUUGAGCCCUUAUGAGAAGAAGCCGAAAAAAUAAGGUAAACAUAGACAUUUAUUCCAACCAAUAUGACAUUAGAAAUUAUUUUUUUCUGAUACAAAAGUGAUAGUAUUUUAUUGAUGGAUAGAAAUUAUACAAAUACAAAAAUUGAGCUAAGUUCUACAGAAUUAGGCGAGCAUCUAUACACCAAUACGGAAUGCGACAAUAGUCCAUGACUCAACCGAACCCUCCGUAUAUGUUUGGCAAUAAUGGCUUUUAAUGGUUGGGCUCCAGCUAAUUGGGCUAGACGGUAGAAGAACAAGAAACCGUUUGUCC
Molecule: long non-coding RNA, 632 nt
Filed under: Prunus persica (peach)
Lineage: Eukaryota; Viridiplantae; Streptophyta; Magnoliopsida; Rosales; Rosaceae
Description: long non-coding RNA (PPER_LNC002991)
Source: RNAcentral